RNAcentral lists this ribosomal RNA (266 nucleotides) under uncultured bacterium. RNAcentral describes it as "partial 16S ribosomal RNA". It matches the Rfam family "Bacterial small subunit ribosomal RNA", at positions 70 to 334 of the family's 1533-position model. The record is from RNAcentral.
CGGGGAGUAGCAAUACUUCGCCGGCGACCGGCGCACGGGUGAGUAACACGUGUGCAACCAACCCCGUACCGGGAGAUAACCCGCGGAAACGUGGACUAACAUCCCAUGACACCUUUUCCCCGCAUGGGGGAGAGUUUAAAACCCCGGUGGUACGGGACGGGCACGCGCGACAUUAGGUAGUUGGCGGGGUAAGGGCCCACCAAGCCGACGAUGUCUAGGGGUUCUGAGAGGAAGGUCCCCCACACUGGAACUGAGACACGGUCCAG